GCCGAGGUGGCGGAAUAGGCAGACGCGCUACCUUGAGGGGGUAGUGCCCGAAAGGGCGUGGGGGUUCAAAUCCCUUCCUCGGCA
Molecule: transfer RNA, 84 nt
Filed under: Thermomicrobium sp.
Lineage: Bacteria; Pseudomonadati; Thermomicrobiota; Thermomicrobia; Thermomicrobiales; Thermomicrobiaceae
Also listed under: 2 other names
Description: tRNA-Leu
Rfam family: tRNA
About the family: Transfer RNA (tRNA) molecules are approximately 80 nucleotides in length. Their secondary structure includes four short double-helical elements and three loops (D, anti-codon, and T loops).
Source: RNAcentral